CCAGCCAAUCUCAGCCGUCCAAUUUGAUUCAAAUUGUGUGGCGUUCGCCACACCUGCAAUUAGUCCCACAUUUGCAAUGUUUUGUCUCCUAGCUACUAGUAUAAAUAUGUGUCAUUUCUUACACUUUAAAGGACACACCAAUUUAUAACAGUUGAGGAAGAGAAUUGAGACUUAGAUUUAUUCUAAGUUUCUUCUCUUAGUUUAAAUUUUUAUUCGCUGCUGUUGCGCUGUUGGUGUCCGUACUCAAGAUUUCUUUUAUUAAUUCAGGUUCUUUAUUUUAUUUUAUUUUCUUUAUUUUUAUUUAUUUUAUUUUUCUCUUUUUAUUUUAUGUCUUUAUUUUUAUUUAUUUAUUUUAUGUCUUUAUUUUUAGUUAUGUCUAGCUAAAUUUAGCAUUGCUAGGAUGUGUAGUUAGUAGCUAAUAGGGGUUCGGUAGUUGAUUCGUGCAAGUAGUUUUCAACCAUCAGUUUUAAAUAAUACGUUUUCAAACAAUUUGUCACGAGAGUGAGGGUUGUUUUAAAGGCAAUAAACCAACAUUGACGAGAGUUGAGGUUUAGGGCCGGAUAGUUAAAACUGAGCGUUAGUUCUAAAGUCCGCGAGAGCUAUUUAGGAUUGAUGAGUUUUAUAUUGAUUUUCAAAGGUACUUUUAUAGGUAAGUGAACGAAUGAGAGCUGAG
Molecule: long non-coding RNA, 673 nt
Filed under: Trifolium pratense (red clover)
Lineage: Eukaryota; Viridiplantae; Streptophyta; Magnoliopsida; Fabales; Fabaceae
Description: long non-coding RNA (TPRA_LNC009083)
Source: RNAcentral